UGUUGAUGUCUCUCCUCGGACACCAUACACAAGUACUAGUAAUCCAAAAAUACAGCAUUGAGAUAUGUUACCCAAGUGCGACACCAGAAAUUAUAAUUGUCUCCCCACACGUCGCGUUUAAAAAAAAUGGAAGCUUGUUGCUCGUUUAACGCCGGAUUAACCAUAGGGAUUAACCAUGUGUCAGAUGCGGCAAAUGCCACGGGCCUCGCGCUUAUGGGGGCAUUGCGCUUUACUGUACCACGCCCAUUUUUACGAGAACACGGCCAUUUUCUAUUGGGACACACCCAUUUU
Paramuricea clavata is the source of this 291-nucleotide non-coding RNA. The record is from the annotation of a GenBank genome assembly. NCBI's taxonomy places the organism in Eukaryota, Metazoa, Cnidaria, Anthozoa, Malacalcyonacea, Plexauridae.